This 555-nucleotide unclassified non-coding RNA is filed under the name Hevea brasiliensis (rubber tree). Lineage: Eukaryota; Viridiplantae; Streptophyta; Magnoliopsida; Malpighiales; Euphorbiaceae. The record is from RNAcentral.
GCCCGAUGCACAGCUUGCAGCCAUAUUGUAGUUCAAGUGACUGCCCAAGAAUGUGAGCACUGGAAUGCCAAAAUGUAUCACAGCCUUCCUUGGUGUCAAAUUUGAACAAUGUCAAAUCACAAUCACCCUCAAGUGGCCUCGUUAUGUCCCAAAGAGUUUCGUUCACUUUAGCUAUCAAAACCUCUGAAGCCAAUCUAACCGAGAUCUCACUAGCGAUGUCUUUUGGUGAUGUUAGCCACUUUUUCCCCUCCUUUAUUGUGCCAUCUGGCAAUUUUAUCUUGAUGGGAUCGCCGCCGAUGCUCUGGUAGUGUGCGAUCUGCUCAGCCUGGAUUUCCUCGAAGCGGCGGAUACGCUUCGGGAGGACGACUUUGAGGUACUCCUCCCCGAACAGCUCGUCGGACAUCGCCGCCGCUUGUGGUCGGAGUUCGGAACAGAGGGAACGAUUGAGGGAGUUGAGGGAUCGGGGAGCCAAAAAGGGAAGGACAGCGAAACCCCGGCAGAGGCGCUGCAGCAUAAAAGUGAGGGAGCAGCGGCGGCGGCGGCGGCGGAUUUCAG